UUUUUUAUAAAAUAAUUUCAUAAAUUAUUUUUGUUGUACAAAACAAAUUUUCUUUCGUAAAUAAUUUAUAUUAAAAUAUUUAUCCAAAUUGAUUGCUAAAGUUAUUUAUAGUUUUAUUUUAUGAUAGUGUUUAAGCUUUGAGCUGUAGUAACCCUAGUCUGUCCUCGAUCUGUAGAAUAAUCUAGAUUCAUGACUUGCUUUCACUUUUAGCUCAUAAAGCCUUCCGCCUUACAAAUUCAAGCUUACUUUUGCAUAAAGCAUAAACUCACGAUUAUAAAGCACAAAAGGUGUGAACAGAAGCUUUGAAACUAGAAUAGAAAUGACUAGACGUUUUAAUUUCAAAAUAAUUUGUAUAGACUGUUACAACAUUUUAAAAAUUAACUAACACUUGACGAUUUUGAAAACAAAACAUAGCAGGAUGGCUUCAUGUAUAAGCACCAUACCCCUUUUUGUUUUGAGGGUAGGAAUCAUCCUAUGUCUUCUCCUGUUUUGGGCGAGGCGAGAGGAAGUGUCAGACUUACUGACUAAAAACUACCAAUAGGCUAUAAAACAUUAUGUUAUGAGCAAUAGGAACAGAGAAGUGUGUGAGAUAAAUAGUAUAAAAUACGAAAGUAACUCUAGUCUGUGUCUUCUUUAUUACUAAACUAGUGUAUUGAUAUGAAACAAUCCUUGUGUGUUGGAUAGUUCAUUUAUCCAGAUAGGUAAUAGGCUACAAAACAUAAUGCUAAUACUAAUGGGAGCCGAGCAGAGCAAUAAAGUUAGACUGAGUCACUCUACCAAUUUAUUACGAGUUUACGAAAAUUUGAGUGUGUCUCAGAAGUCCUAAUAAGGAAAUACGUAGUUUAAGAAAUACGUAGUCCCGUUUUUUAGUAUUAAAUACAUACCGACUAGGAUGACCUAAAACUUGUUUUCCUAGAGUCUAUUUUAAUUCCUAGUUUAUAGUUAGUAGACUGAUGAUUAACAGACGGAUUUUAAAUAAAAAAUUUUUAUUUCUUUCUUUCUUUCUAGACGUAGUAAAUACGUUGUUUUCUCGUUUUCUAUUACAUUAUGUUAAUAAAUUAGACUGGCGAUAAGUAGGUUAUUGUAAUGUGUAACUUUACUUAUCAGAUUUAAUUAUUUUUACGUGCAAACGUCUGAUGUACUAUUACGCCUUUUAUUUCCAAAGGAGUAGGUAGAUGAGUGCAUAAUAUACUAGGUUUUUUAAAGAGAAAAUCAUCUUAAGUUUUCUCCUUGGGCGAGGCGAGAAGGAGUGUCAGACUCUUACUGAUUAAAUACUAUCCUGUUUCCACUCCUGCUUUGAGUUGGAGGCCUAGUUACCUGGAAAGUCUUCCACAGAUGUAUGAUUAUAUGUAUGUGGGAAAUGUGAGUGUAAGAGUGAGAUAGAAGUAUGUAUGCGAGUGAGAGAAUGAUAGUAAAAUGUCAAAUUCAAGUGACAAAUGAAGAGAGUGGAAAAUAAAAGACGACGAUUGCUAGCCAUAAGACGUUUAAUUUUUCAAGAAGAAAAUCAAUUUAAUUUAUUUCCAGACGGAAAUUUUUCUUUUCCCUGCCCAAUAUCCCACAUGUAUACUAGGUUUUCACCAGUAGGUGAGCCUAAUGCCGUCCCUGCGCAUUUAUGCGUUACGAAAACCAUACAAUAAAAAGAUUUCGCAUAUUUUUACCCGAAAAAAAGAAUUUACCUAAUACACCAGGAAACAAUGAACAAAGGCGACUAGCAUAAUCACCUUUCACCACUACACAAUAGAGCCCAUUCUUCAAUGUCCAUGAUCCACAUACAUGUUCGUACACACACGAAUUUCUGUCAAAAUGCACCAUUGUAUGACAUGAGCUUGUGAAUUAAAAAAAAAACAAUUGACAGUUGUGUCAUUGUUUUGUGUGAACGGAAUUUUUGUGAGCAAUUAGCUAAUGUUCUCAUGUAAACAGCAGCUCAUGUAGUGUAGAUGUCCAGUCAACAAGGAUGUAGCGUAGACUGUCCAGGCGACACACGUACUUAGGUAUCGUCAUGAGCUAAUGUUCACAUGUAAACAGCAGCUCAUGUAGUGUAGAUGUCCAGUCAACAAGGAUGUAGCGAGGUUGACUGUCCAGGCGACACACGUACUUAGGUAUCGUCAUGAGCUAAUGUUCACAUGUAAACAGCAGCUCAUGUAGUGUAGAUGUCCAGUCAACAAGGAUGUAGCGAGGUUGACUGUCCAGGCGACACACGUACUUAGGUAUCGUCAUGAGCUAAUGUUCACAUGUAAACAGCAGCUCAUGUAGUGUAGUUGUCCAGUCAACAAGGAUGUAGCGAGGUUGACUGUCCAGGCGACACACGUACUUAGGUAUCGUCAUGAGCUAAUGUUCACAUGUAAACAGCAGCUCAUGUAGUGUAGAUGUCCAGUCAACAAGGAUGUAGCGAGGUUGACUGUCCAGGCGACACACGUACUUAGGUAUCGUCAUGAGCUAAUGUUCACAUGUAAACAGCAGCUCAUGUAGUGUAGAUGUCCAGUCAACAAGGAUGUAGCGAGGUUGACUGUCCAGGCGACACACGUACUUAGGUAUCGUCAUGAGCUAAUGUUCACAUGUAAACAGCAGCUCAUGUAGUGUAGUUGUCCAGUCAACAAGGAUGUAGCGAGGUUGACUGUCCAGGCGACACACGUACUUAGGUAUCGUCAUGAGCUAAUGUUCACAUGUAAACAGCAGCUCAUGUAGUGUAGAUGUCCAGUCAACAAGGAUGUAGCGAGGUUGACUGUCCAGGCGACACACGUACUUAGGUAUCGUCAUGAGCUAAUGUUCACAUGUAAACAGCAGCUCAUGUAGUGUAGAUGUCCAG
Molecule: long non-coding RNA, 2806 nt
Organism: Spodoptera frugiperda (fall armyworm)
Lineage: Eukaryota; Metazoa; Arthropoda; Insecta; Lepidoptera; Noctuidae
Exons: 5
Source: RefSeq, a predicted model, not a curated record